This 501-nucleotide ribosomal RNA is filed under the name uncultured bacterium. RNAcentral describes it as "partial 16S ribosomal RNA". It matches the Rfam family "Bacterial small subunit ribosomal RNA", at positions 30 to 523 of the family's 1533-position model. The record is from RNAcentral.
AUUGAACGCUGGCGGCAGGCUUAACACAUGCAAGUCGAGCGGGGGAAGGUAGCUUGCUACCGGACCUAGCGGCGGACGGGUGAGUAAUGCUUAGGAAUCUGCCUAUUAGUGGGGGACAACAUCUCGAAAGGGAUGCUAAUACCGCAUACGUCCUACGGGAGAAAGCAGGGGAUCUUCGGACCUUGCGCUAAUAGAUGAGCCUAAGUCGGAUUAGCUAGUUGGUGGGGUAAAGGCCUACCAAGGCGACGAUCUGUAGCGGGUCUGAGAGGAUGAACCGCCACACGGGGACUGAGACACGGCCCAGACUCCUACGGGAGGCAGCAGUGGGGAAUAUUGGAAAAUGGGGGGAGCCCUGAUGCAGCCAUGCCGGGUGUGUGAAGAAGGCAUUAUGGUUGUAAAGCACUUUAAGCGAGGAGGAGGCUACUCUAGUUAAUACCUAGGGAUAGUGGACGUUACUCGCAGAAUAAGCACCGGCUAACUCUGUGCCAGCCGCCGCCGUAA